GGGCCCGUUGCAUAGCCUGGUUAUUGCGCCGCUCUGAUAAGGCGGAGGCCCGGAGUUCAAUCAGCAGAGGACUCC
This 75-nucleotide transfer RNA is filed under the name Candidatus Thorarchaeota archaeon. RNAcentral describes it as "tRNA-Ile". The record is from RNAcentral. Lineage: Archaea; Promethearchaeati; Candidatus Thorarchaeota.